ACUACGGGAGGCUGCAGUAGGGAAUCUUCCACAAUGGGCGAAAGCCUGAUGGAGCAACGCCGCGUGGGUGAAGAAGGUCUUCGGAUCGUAAAACCCUGUUGUUAGAGAAGAAAGUGCGUGAGAGUAACUGUUCACGUUUCGACGGUAUCUAACCAGAAAGCCACGGCUAACUACGUGCCAGCAGCCGCGGUAAGACGUAGGUGGCAAACGUUAUCCGGCAUUUUUGGGCGUAAAGGGAACGAAGGCGGUCUUUUAAGUCUGAUGUGAAAGCCUUCGGCUUAACCGGAGUAGGGCAUUGGAAACUGGGAGACUUGAGUGCAGAAGAGGGGAGCGGAACGCCAUGUGUAGCGGUGAAAUGCGUAGAUAUAUGGAAGAACACCAGUGGCGAAAGCGGCUCUCUGGUCUGUAACUGACGCUGAGGUUCGAAAGCGUGGGUAGCAAACAGGAUUAGAUACCCUGGUAGUC
Molecule: ribosomal RNA, 465 nt
Filed under: uncultured bacterium
Lineage: Bacteria
Description: partial 16S ribosomal RNA
Rfam family: Bacterial small subunit ribosomal RNA
Source: RNAcentral